Vespa mandarinia (Asian giant hornet) is the source of this 1148-nucleotide long non-coding RNA. NCBI's taxonomy places the organism in Eukaryota, Metazoa, Arthropoda, Insecta, Hymenoptera, Vespidae. The record is from RefSeq and is a predicted model, not a curated record.
AAUAUCUCGUUGGUCGAAUUACUUUCACUUUUAUAACGGGUGAUUCAUCAAUUCAUCAAUUUUUACGGAAAAAAGUCCAACCUGUAGAAGCCCUAAAUCGGCCCUACGGUCAAAGUUAUCUGCGCGAGACCAGCCCUCAGUAUCUAAUGUUAGGUUUCCUAUUUAUAGGUUGAAGUAAAUAAUGAAACACUGCAUUAUACUUAUGACUAAUGAAUCUCUGGACAAUACAGAUAUAUGAUCAUAGGCAAAUAUCAUUAAUAUAUUGAGAGGAGAAAUAAGAAUGGGACAUCUGGAUCACUCCUCUAAGUCCAGGUCCCCUAAUUCUUCUUCUAAAUCUUCUAAAUCUUCUUCCAUAAAUAGAUUUUCAUUUAUUGCUAAGGCAGUUGCACCUUCUCCUACAGUCACUGUUUGAAAGGAGAAUGGCAAAUUAUUAAAGAUGCAUUAUCAUUUUUAUAAAUUGUUAAUUUAUAAAGUAUAUUACCGGUACUAUCUUUAUUGUCUUCAGCAGUACCAUUAGCUUUCAAACGAUCUGUAGAUGCAACUGUUAUACCCGUAGUAUCAGUCUCACUAGCUUCAAAGGCAAGUCGUUCCAUAUCAAGUUCCCUAUAUUCAAUCUUAUCUUCUUCUUCAUCUUCCUCACGCACAUAACUAGAUAUUGCUUCAUCACCAUCAUCAAUACCUGAUCCAAACAAAUUUAUAUAAUGCAAAUAUAUUAAAUUAAUUAUAAUUGUCGUCAACUUAAAGUGUUUAAUGCUAAUAUAAGUACCAUCUCCAGCAGCAAGUUCUGGAUUGAAGUAGAACAUUUCGCGACCGGAUAUACCCACUUGACGACCUGCUUUAUAAUCAUUUCUUCGUUUUUCUUCAUCCUUGAUAGCUUGUUCUUUCUUUUCUUGUAAUUUUCUCUUUUUCCAAGCCAAAAAGGUUUCUAAAGUUAUUUUUGUCUGCAAUGUACGAAAAUUGAGAAAAUAUUUCAUUUCGAGGAAUAUUAUUAGGUUUAAUUAAAUUUACAAUAGUUUAAUAAAUUGAACAAAUUUUAUAAGAAUAUAAACAUACCUGAUUAGGUCCUAAAUUUGCUCUUUCUCUCUCGAUUAGAUCCUCCAAUGAAAUUUCAUCUUUCUUAUCCUCUUUCUUUUUAUCUUUCUUAAGAA